GGCGUCCAUCUUGGCGUCCUAGGAAACGCGACGGAAGUGACGUCAACCCCCGGAACCGCCGGUAUCGACUUCCGGAUGGACGGGUUUCUUUCUGUGAGCGCCGGAGAGGGUAUUGCUUCUAAGGUUUCAGUUGGUGAGAGUCUAGGGCAGAGUUGGCUUCGCAAUCAGCGCCCUCAGAUCCGCUAAAUGAUUUGUUUCAAAAUGAUGAUCCUCUCACGGCCGAAAAUAUCCCAUUUUUCCGGAGCACCGACAUUACGGAUGCCGCCUGCCUCGCUGUGCUCUCUGCCUCCGCAGGUGCCCAAAGCUGAGGAGUACCCUCGUGCGGGCCUCGACUCCCAGCCCCCGGCUUCUUUCUCACUUCUCCCCAGCGAGACCUCGGAGGAGGAAAGGACCGUGGGCACCAGCUGUUGAGCCUCAGGCCUGGCAUUGACCGACCAUUCGGGUGGACUUGAGCAAGAAAUAAACCUCUCCGGGCCUUUCCUCUUCUGCACCCCGGGCAUUAUACCUGCCUCCUCGAUUUGUUGCGGGGUUUAAGUGCGAAGCAUCUGUGUAUUGUUCCUGUUAGCACCCUUUUUCCAACUUCUGAGCAAUUUCACCAGCUGGGAAUGUGGGCCCUAAAUUUAUACUUUCCCAGAAAACUGCCAUCUCCCCUCACUCAUGCUCAUAAAUCGAAAAACACUGUGUCACUAACUCACAAGGUUUUCUGUAUCAAGAAUCCUAUCACACUCCUACCGUGUCCUGUGUUGAGUGUGCUUAACCAUUCAGACGUUUACUGAGCACCUACUGUUUGCUUGGAACUGUUAGGCACUGUGCUAGACAACGGAAAGAUGAAGAAGAUGCGAUGUUACACUUGAGGAGCUCCUGGACCAAAGAUGACCUCAGAGCUGUACUACAGUAUGUUCGGGUAUUUAUGAAUGUAUGGAAGCAUUUUCUUAAGUCAACAGACAUUCCCCAAACAGCUGCAUCUGCUAAAAAUGCCAAGGAAGGAGUGAAGUUAGAAUCUUGUGGAGGAGAUGAUUUCAAUACAAUGUAUGGAAACACUGUAUAUAGGGUUACUCCAGCACAGAAUAAAGGCCUGUGCAUUCUGCGGGGGAGGUGUGGGGAGCAGGGGCAGUGGCUUGAAGUGUGUCAGAUACAGAAGUGGGCAGCCCAGAAAGCCACCCAGAAAGUAAAAUUUAACUUGCUCAGUUGGCGCUCUUUAGAUCUUCUAUGUCAUGGGUAUUUGCAGAAGAAAUGUAGUAAGAAUGUCAAGUGUCUACGGGUUGGAUCAUAUGGCCUUUCUACACAAUACCUCCUCUUUCUUGUUCUGUUUUGUUUUUUCUUUUCAGACU
Long non-coding RNA from Phyllostomus discolor (pale spear-nosed bat), 1331 nucleotides. RefSeq lists it as uncharacterized. The transcript has 2 exons. The record is from RefSeq and is a predicted model, not a curated record. Lineage: Eukaryota; Metazoa; Chordata; Mammalia; Chiroptera; Phyllostomidae.